This 367-nucleotide ribosomal RNA is filed under the name uncultured bacterium. RNAcentral describes it as "bacterial SSU rRNA". It matches the Rfam family "Bacterial small subunit ribosomal RNA", at positions 527 to 896 of the family's 1533-position model. The record is from RNAcentral.
GGAGGAUCCAAGCGUUAUCCGGAUUUAUUGGGUUUAAGGGGUGCGUAGGCGGCUUUUUAAGUCAGGGGUGAAAGACGGCAGCUCAACUGUCGCAGUGCCUUUGAUACUGAAGAGCUUGAAUACACUUGAAGUAGGCGGAAUGUGACAAGUAGCGGUGAAAUGCAUAGAUAUGUCACAGAACACCAAUUGCGAAGGCAGCUUACUAAAGUGUGAUUGACGCUGAGGCACGAAAGCGUGGGGAUCAAACAGGAUUAGAUACCCUGGUAGUCCACGCCCUAAACGAUGAACACUCGAUGUUGGCGAUAUACGGUCAGCGUCUAAGCGAAAGCGUUAAGUGUUCCACCUGGGGAGUACGCCCGCAAGGGUG